UAGGGAAUAUUCCGCAAUGGGCGAAAGCCUGACGGAGCAACGCCGCGUGAGUGAAGAAGGUUUUCGGAUCGUAAAGCUCUGUCAACAGGGACGAAACAAGACGGUACCUGAGAAGGAAGCCACGGCAAACUACGUGCCAGCAGCCGCGGUAAUACGUAGGUGGCAAGCGUUGUCCGGAAUAACUGGGCGUAAAGCGCAUGUAGACGGCAUGAUAAGCCAAAUGUGAAAUGUAGGGGCUCAACCCCUGCACUGCGAUUGGAACUGUCAAGCUUGAGUGCAGGAGAGGCAAAUGGAAUUCCCAGUGUAGCAGUGAAAUGCGUAGAGAUUGGGAGGAACACCAGUGGCGAAGGCGAUUUGCUGGACUGCAACUGACGUUGAGAUGCGAAAGCCAGGGGAGCAAACGGG
This 405-nucleotide ribosomal RNA is filed under the name uncultured bacterium. RNAcentral describes it as "bacterial SSU rRNA". It matches the Rfam family "Bacterial small subunit ribosomal RNA", at positions 355 to 776 of the family's 1533-position model. The record is from RNAcentral.